AGAUGAAGAAACUGAGGCGCAGAGAGGUCAGGUUCCUUGGGACAAUACUGUGAGAUGCCCCCAUCCGAUCCUCCUGUUGAAGCCUGUAUUGAACAGUCACCCACAGUCCUGGAAGAGGGUCAACAUGAUAGCCACAAAUGGAAGGGCAGCAGGGAAGAAAGGAAAGAGGAAAAGGAAGAAAGCUUGUUUUCCUUAUAGGCUCCAUGAAGUCAACAGGAAAUGGCUCAGUGUAGAUCAACCAACCACCUUACUGUCCUGAGUAAAAGGCAAGACUGAUAUCUUUCUGAGUGACUGAAGAGUUAAUCACGACUUAGGUUUCGGAGGCAUGCAUGCAGAACUGGAAGUGAGGGAAGAAGAGGAAAGCCAUCAGCCUAGUCUCAGCAGUCGUCUAUAAUAUAACAAUCAGC
Bos taurus (domestic cattle) is the source of this 407-nucleotide long non-coding RNA. Lineage: Eukaryota; Metazoa; Chordata; Mammalia; Artiodactyla; Bovidae. The record is from Ensembl.